RNAcentral lists this ribosomal RNA (253 nucleotides) under uncultured bacterium. RNAcentral's name for it is "partial 16S ribosomal RNA". It matches the Rfam family "Bacterial small subunit ribosomal RNA", at positions 524 to 776 of the family's 1533-position model. The record is from RNAcentral.
CACGUAGGGGGCAAGCGUUGUCCGGAUUUAUUGGGCGUAAAGAGCGUGUAGGCGGCCAGGUAGGUCUGCUGUGAAAACUCGAGGCUUAACCUCGAGAUGUCGGUGGAAACCAUCUGGCUAGAGUCCGGAAGAGGAGAGUGGAAUUCCUGGUGUAGCGGUGAAAUGCGCAGAUAUCAGGAAGAACACCCGUGGCGAAGGCGGCUCUCUGGGACGGUACUGACGCUGAGACGCGAAAGCGUGGGGAGCGAACAGG